GAGUGAUGAUGAAAUUGUGAGAGAUGAUGAGAGGGGAGGAUGGGAGGGGGUAGUAACAAAAGUGAAAACAAUUUCAAAUAGAUUUCAAUUUUUACUUUUGUAACUCCUCCCUCCCAUCAUCCCCUCUCAUCUUCCUUGUCAAUCUCAUGUACACUUA
RNAcentral lists this small nucleolar RNA (157 nucleotides) under Prunus dulcis (almond). Its description in RNAcentral is "sRNA ncRNA". Lineage: Eukaryota; Viridiplantae; Streptophyta; Magnoliopsida; Rosales; Rosaceae. The record is from RNAcentral.